Molecule: ribosomal RNA, 301 nt
Filed under: uncultured bacterium
Lineage: Bacteria
Description: partial 16S ribosomal RNA
Rfam family: Bacterial small subunit ribosomal RNA
Source: RNAcentral
CAGUCGCCGCGGUAAAACGAAGGGUGCAAGCGUUACUCGGAAUUACUGGGCGUAAAGCGUGUGUAGGUGGUUGUUUAAGUCUGUCGUGAAAUCCCCGGGCUCAACCUGGGAAUGGCAAUGGAUACUGGCAAGCUAGAGUGUGUCAGAGGAUGGUGGAAUUCCCGGUGUAGCGGUGAAAUGCGUAGAGAUCGGGAGGAACAUCAGUGGCGAAGGCGGCCAUCUGGGACAACACUGACGCUGAGGCACGAAAGCGUGGGGAGCAAACAGGAUUAGAGACCCCCGUAGUCCCUGUCUCUUAUAC